GAUGAACGCUGGCGGCGUGCCUAAUACAUGCAAGUCGAGCGAACAGAUAAGGAGCUUGCUCCUUUGACGUUAGCGGCGGACGGGUGAGUAACACGUGGGUAACCUACCUAUAAGACUGGGAUAACUUCGGGAAACCGGAGCUAAUACCGGAUAAUAUUUCGAACCGCAUGGUUCGAUAGUGUAAGAUGGUUUUGCUAUCACUUAUAGAUGGACCCGCGCCGUAUUAGCUAGUUGGUAAGGUAACGGCUUACCAAGGCGACGAUACGUAGCCGACCUGAGAGGGUGAUCGGCCACACUGGAACUGAGGCACGGUCCAGACUCCUACGGGAGGCAGCAGUAGGGAAUCUUCCGCAAUGGGCGAAAGCCUGACGGAGCAACGCCGCGUGAGUGAUGAAGGUCUUCGGAUCGUAAAACUCUGUUAUUAGGGAAGAACAUACGUGUAAGUAACUGUGCACGUCUUGACGGUACCUAAUCAGAAAGCCACGGCUAACUACGUG
This 497-nucleotide ribosomal RNA is filed under the name uncultured bacterium. RNAcentral's name for it is "partial 16S ribosomal RNA". It matches the Rfam family "Bacterial small subunit ribosomal RNA", at positions 28 to 507 of the family's 1533-position model. The record is from RNAcentral.